RNAcentral lists this ribosomal RNA (402 nucleotides) under uncultured bacterium. RNAcentral's name for it is "bacterial SSU rRNA". It matches the Rfam family "Bacterial small subunit ribosomal RNA", at positions 355 to 774 of the family's 1533-position model. The record is from RNAcentral.
UCGGGAAUUUUGGGCAAUGGGCGAAAGCCUGACCCAGCAACGCCGCGUGAGGGAUGAAGUAUUUCGGUAUGUAAACCUCGAAAGAAUGGGAAGAAUAAAUGACGGUACCAUUUAUAAGCUCCGGCUAACUACGUGCCAGCAGCCGCGGUAAUACGUAGGGAGCAAGCGUUGUUCGGAUUUACUGGGCGUAAAGGGCGCGUAGGCGGCGCGGUAAGUCACUUGUGAAAUCUCUGAGCUUAACUCAGAACGGCCAAGUGAUACUGCUGUGCUAGAGUGCGGAAGAGGCAACCGGAAUUCUUGGUGUAGCGGUGAAAUGCGUAGAUAUCAAGAGGAACACCUGAGGCGAAGGCGGGUUGCUGGGCUGACACUGACGCUGAUGCGCGAAAGCCAGGGGAGCAAACG